CAAUUGGAGGGCAAGUCUGGUGGCCAUUCAGCUCCCAUUCUGCUGACGCCAGAGAUAGUCGGGCAGCUUCGUCAGAAGCUGUUACGCCGGCUAGUCGAGUACCUACUAAUUGAUGGGAGGGUACCGGCAAGACAACCUGGAUCGGGGAAGGCUAAGGCACCCAGUGCUAUGCUAAUCCCGAGCAGAGCUGCCACGGAGCGAUUCGUGGAUAGCCUGUGUAGAGCGCGGUAAGGUGUCGGCCAGCUCACGUAGUUGGCUUAAGGGACGUGCCAUUCCCACUCGAAAGAGUGGCUGCCAGCAGAAGCGCCCAUCACGCGAGCGCUGGCAGGUUCAAACAUGCUUGCAAAGCAAGCCGUUGAAAGUUAUAUUAAAAGGCCAGCAGCCGCGGUAAUUCCAGCUCCAAUAGCGUAUAUUAAAGUUGUUGCAGUUAAAAAGCUCGUAGUUGAAUCUUUGGCCUGGCUGGCGGGUCCGCCUCACCGCGUGCACUUGUCCGGCCGGGCCUUCUCUUCUGGAGAACCGCAUGCCCUUCACUGGGCGUGUUGGGGACCAGGACUUUUACUUUGAAAAAAUUAGAGUGUUCAAAGCAGGCCUUUGCUCGAAUACGUUAGCAUGGAAUAAUAGAAUAGGACGUGCGGUCCUAUUUUGUUGGUUUCUAGGACCGCCGUAAUGAUUAAUAGGGACAGUCGGGGGCAUCAGUAUUCAAUUGUCAGAGGUGAAAUUCUUGGAUUUAUUGAAGACUAACUACUGCGAAAGCAUUUGCCAAGGAUGUUUUCAUUAAUCAGUGAACGAAAGUUAGGGGAUCGAAGACGAUCAGAUACCGUCGUAGUCUUAACCAUAAACUAUGCCGACUAGGGAUCGGGCGGUGUUAUCGAUUUGACCCGCUCGGCACCUUGCGAGAAAUCAAAG
Molecule: ribosomal RNA, 906 nt
Filed under: Dictyocheirospora multiappendiculata
Lineage: Eukaryota; Fungi; Ascomycota; Dothideomycetes; Pleosporales; Dictyosporiaceae
Description: SSU rRNA
Rfam family: Eukaryotic small subunit ribosomal RNA
Source: RNAcentral